This 233-nucleotide ribosomal RNA is filed under the name uncultured bacterium. RNAcentral describes it as "partial 16S ribosomal RNA". It matches the Rfam family "Bacterial small subunit ribosomal RNA", at positions 100 to 334 of the family's 1533-position model. The record is from RNAcentral.
CGGGACGGGUGAGUAAUGCUUGGGAAUCUAGCUUAUGGAGGGGGAUAACUACGGGAAACUGUAGCUAAUACCGCGUAGUAUCGAGAGGUGAAAGUGUGGGACCUUCGGGCCACAUGCCAUAGGAUGAGCCCAAGUGGGAUUAGGUAGUUGGUGAGGUAAAGGCUCACCAAGCCGACGAUCUCUAGCUGGUCUGAGAGGAUGACCAGCCACACUGGGACUGAGACACGGCCCAA